AACGAACGCUGGCGGCAUGCCUAACACAUGCAAGUCGAACGAGACCUUCGGGUCUAGUGGCGCACGGGUGCGUAACGCGUGGGAAUCUGCCCUUGGGUUCGGAAUAACAGUUGGAAACGACUGCUAAUACCGGAUGAUGACGUAAGUCCAAAGAUUUAUCGCCCAGGGAUGAGCCCGCGUAGGAUUAGCUAGUUGGUGGGGUAAAGGCCUACCAAGGCGACGAUCCUUAGCUGGUCUGAGAGGAUGAUCAGCCACGCUGGGACUGAGACACGGCCCAGACUCCUACGGGAGGCAGCAGUGGGGAAUAUUGGACGAUGGGCGAAAGCCUGAUCCAGCCAUGCCGCGUGAGUGAUGAAGGCCUUAGGGUUGUAAAACUCUUUUACCCGGGAUGAUAAUGACAGUACCGGGAGAAUAAGCCCCGGCUAACUCCGUG
Molecule: ribosomal RNA, 433 nt
Filed under: uncultured bacterium
Lineage: Bacteria
Description: partial 16S ribosomal RNA
Rfam family: Bacterial small subunit ribosomal RNA
Source: RNAcentral